Molecule: ribosomal RNA, 479 nt
Filed under: uncultured bacterium
Lineage: Bacteria
Description: partial 16S ribosomal RNA
Rfam family: Bacterial small subunit ribosomal RNA
Source: RNAcentral
GAUGAACGCUGGCGGCGUGCUUAACACAUGCAAGUCGAACGAAGCACCUUGAUUUGAUUCUUCGGAUGAAGAUCUUGGUGACUGAGUGGCGGACGGGUGAGUAACGCGUGGGUAACCUGCCUCAUACAGGGGGAUAGCAGUUAGAAAUGACUGCUAAUACCGCAUAAGACCACAGCACCGCAUGGUGCAGGGGUAAAAACUCCGGUGGUAUGAGAUGGACCCGCGUCUGAUUAGGUAGUUGGUGGGGUAACGGCCUACCAAGCCGACGAUCAGUAGCCGACCUGAGAGGGUGACCGGCCACAUUGGGACUGAGACACGGCCCAAACUCCUACGGGAGGCAGCAGUGGGGAAUAUUGCACAAUGGGGGAAAACCUGAUGCAGCGACGCCGCGUGAGCGAUGAAGUAUUUCGGUAUGUAAAGCUCUAUCAGCAGGGAAGAAAAUGACGGUACCUGACGAAGAAGCACCGGCUAAAUACGUG